RNAcentral lists this transfer RNA (61 nucleotides) under Platygaster robiniae. Its description in RNAcentral is "tRNA-Leu". The record is from RNAcentral. Lineage: Eukaryota; Metazoa; Arthropoda; Insecta; Hymenoptera; Platygastridae.
CUUAAUAAUUUAAAAAUUAAAUUUAGAAUUUAAUUAUAAAUUUUUAUAAAUUUUAUUAAGA